Molecule: ribosomal RNA, 1125 nt
Filed under: human gut metagenome
Description: bacterial LSU rRNA
Rfam family: Bacterial large subunit ribosomal RNA
Source: RNAcentral
CCAAUCGAACUCGGAGAUAGCUGGUUCUCCCCGAAAUAGCUUUAGGGCUAGCCUCGAUUUAGAUUACCGGGGGUAGAGCACUGAAUGGGCUAGGGGGCCACAAAGCUUACCGAACCCUAUCAAACUUCGAAUACCGGAUAAUUGAUGAUCGGGAGUCAGACAGUGUGAGAUAAGUUUCAUUGUCGAAAGGGAAACAGCCCAGAUCUACGACUAAGGUCCCAAAGUUCAAGUUAAGUGGAAAAGGAUGUGCAAUUGCGUAGACAACCAGGAUGUUGGCUUAGAAGCAGCCAUUCAUUCAAAGAGUGCGUAAUAGCUCACUGGUCGAGUGAUUGUGCGCCGAAAAUGUAACGGGGCUAAACUUGACACCGAAGUCUAGGCAGAAGGAAACUUCUGGGUAGGGGAGCAACGUGUACGGGCAGAAGCAGAAGCGGAAGCGACUGUGGACUGUACAGGAGAGAGAAUGCCGGCAUGAGUAGCGAGAGCAAAGUGAGAAUCUUUGCCGUCGAAAGCCUAAGGUUUCCUGAGGAAGGCUCGUCCUCUCAGGGUAAGUCGGGACCUAAGCCGAGGACAAUAGUCGUAGGCGAUGGACAAUCGGUUAAUAUUCCGAUACCGCCGAGCAACCGGAUGCAGUGACACAGAAGGAUAGGCAGAGCGUGGCGAUGGUAGACCACGUCCAAGCAGUGAGGCUGUUGUGUAGUGAAGUACGCACAACGGAAGGCUGGGCUGUGAUGGGGAACGAUUACGAUCGGUAAGCUGCUGAAUUCACGCUGGCGAGAAAAGCUGCUACGAAGCGAAGGCGCCCGUACCGCAAACCGACACAGGUAGGCGAGGAGAGAAUCCUAAGACGAGCGGGAGAACCCUUGUUAAGGAACUCGGCAAAAUGACUCCGUAACUUAGGGAGAAGGAGUGCCCAGGAAUGGGCCGCAGAGAAUAGACCCAAGCGACUGUUUACCAAAAACACAGGUCUGUGCGAAGUAGAGAUACGACGUAUACGGGCUGACGCCUGCCCAGUGCCGGAAGGUUAAGGGGAAGUGUUAGGGCAACCGAAGCACGGAACUUAAGCCCCGGUGAACGGCGGCCGUAACUAUAACGGUCCUAAGGUAGCGAAAUUCCUUGUCGGGUAAG